This is a long non-coding RNA of Corapipo altera (White-ruffed manakin), 714 nucleotides long. RefSeq lists it as uncharacterized. NCBI's taxonomy places the organism in Eukaryota, Metazoa, Chordata, Aves, Passeriformes, Pipridae. The transcript is spliced from 3 exons. The record is from RefSeq and is a predicted model, not a curated record.
CCCUGUGACUCCCACUGUGUUGUGUUCUCUGUAUCUCCUGAUAAUUUUGUGUUCCACUGUGUCUUCAUACAACUGAUGAUAUCUAAUUUGUUCCCUGUGCAUGUAUUUCAUAGGUUCCAAAAGAAGAUCUGCAAGUUAAAGACCUGGAGGUGAAGUUUCAAAGCCAGAAAUGUUUCAGAAAUGGCUGGUGGCUGUGCAUGGGACUGAGAAGCAUUCUGCAGUCAGACUGCCUUGAAGUAAGUCUUUCAGCCUGACUAUCUCGUUUGAUGGAGACAGUGAACCAGCUGUUUAGACACCUGAUAAAGAAAUUCCAGUGGUGGAGCCAAGGAUCUACUCAAGCUCAUGCUAGAAAUGGAACACCUCCCACCCCUGGAUGCAGUGUCAAAACCAUGGGCACAUCGCACUGUACAGCCUACGCUGCCUUCCUGACCGCUCCUCUCCUCUCUCUGCAGUAGCAAGGGGGUGGCUUCACCACUGCUCCUUGCAAGCAUGAAGUGGAUUUAUCAUUCUGUAAAUGUUAUUUUUGGUAAACAUUUCUACAGAGGCUGCAUAGAAACCAGACUUGAUGCAAACAUUUCCAUGAUGAGUGGAUAUAUAGUCAUACAGCCUCUCCUGGGUCACAUGAAACUAGAUGUUACAUUUGGCAGUAAUAACAAGGUAAUCAGAGCUCUUCCAUUUUCCUUGGUCAUGAAUAAAUCCAUCCUUGGCAAGUAA